Molecule: long non-coding RNA, 1707 nt
Organism: Sorex fumeus (smoky shrew)
Lineage: Eukaryota; Metazoa; Chordata; Mammalia; Eulipotyphla; Soricidae
Exons: 2
Source: RefSeq, a predicted model, not a curated record
CAGCAGCAACAACAAACUUUCAGAAACCUAUACUUCUGUGGUGAGGAAUUGUCAAAGUACAAAUUUUACUUUUCUUGAAGAUAGAAAUCUUGUAAUAGUUAUCUCACAUGUUUUCAGUUUGUGUGAAGGAUUUCUCUUUGAAUAACAUUUUCUUAGCACAGUGGUGAAAAUGGCAUGGAAAUAUAGUCAGAAUUGUGACUGCAACGUAAUGGUUGCUUCUUUUGAUGUUGAUAUAAGUUCACCAUUCUUUCAAACAGUGGCCUUGAUUUCAUGUGGCCUCCUUUGACUUUUUAGCUCAAGGUUUAAGAUUUGACUCAUUGAAAUCAAAGCGCCACAAUGCUCUGAAGGAAGGUUUGUAUACAGAGGACUUGGCCAAACUUGUUUAUCAUGAUCUGUAGCACUUAAGUCUUAACAUUUUUGCCAUUACUGUAUUAUAUAACUGAAAGCCUGUGGUAGAAGAAGUGGAAUGAUAGAAUAUGAGGUUCACUUCAUUGUCUGUGGAUCAAGUACUUCACCUUCCCACCCAGGAAAAAUAAAAGAAGACUUUGGUGUAACAGUGUACUUAUGUCACUUCUUUUAUUUAAGGUAAAACAUUCAGUAGUCCUGUUUGAAAAGAAUUUUCAUAAUACCUUAAUUAGUGAUUAUUAAUGAGGUGAUUCAUUUUUUAAGUUUUUAAGAUUUUCUCAGCUCUGUGAUUCCACAAUAAUAUCCUCCAUUCUUUCAAAUAAAGUAAUUUUUUAUGAUAACUACAUUUUCAGGCACAUUUUCUGAAAUAUAUAUAAUAUGCAUGCCAGUAUAAUAAGUGUCUAUGUACUUUACACCCUACUUCAGCUAUUACCGGUUUAUGAAAAAUCUUAUCUAGCAAAUUACCCCUCUUUCUCCUAGUACCAUCUUGGAGUGAUUAAUACAUAUUAUAUUUUAAACAUAAGUAUUCAGUGUAUAGUUAUAUAAGUUAUAAGCACUUGAGGAAAAGCUACAGUUUUAUUAUGUUUUAAAUUAAUAUUAGUUCUCUAAAUUAAUAUUAGUUCUCUAUAAAUUAAUAUUAGUUCUCUAUUUUCAGUAAGUAUGUAGUCAGGGUUACCACCUCUACUUGUUUUAUAAAUGCUUAUAAAUGUUUCAACAUUUUUAUAAUUUUAAUUUAAAUACUUCUCAUGUUUCUUCCUUUUCUUUCUUGAUAUUUUAUUCUAUGAAGAGGCUACUUUGUUUCACAGAUAUCAUUUUCCACAUCUUAAAUUUUUCUGAUGACUAUGUCACAGUUGUGUCAAGUUCAUUUUUUGUUUCCUUGAACAAAUCCUUGGAUCUAGAGACUGUAUCGUGUUAGAGAAAUGAUUUGGAGGGCAGGAAUGUAUUAUGUUUUCUUAUUGGUUGACAGUGUUAACUUUUCUCUUUGUGAUAAUCACAACAGCAGCUGAUUGAUUCAGUUAAUUAACCUGUGCAUGUUUUUUUUAAUAGAAUGACUAAUAGAGGUGGAAGAAAUGUUUGUUGUCUAUUAUAGUUUAAUAAAAAUAUACAGUGCUAAAAUAUUUUCUUACAUAUUGAGAGAACAAGAAAUAAUAAGUUACCAAAUACAUGCGUUGGCUGUUCUCACCAUUCAUCUUUCUGAUCUUUUUAUUAUGAUGUGUCAUCAUUGUAGUAAUUCCUAGAUAAGACAUUGAAACACAUCAACCACAGUUUGUGUUGGUUAAGUGGCCUUGAAUAAAGUAUUCU